This is a non-coding RNA of Anopheles gambiae (African malaria mosquito), 185 nucleotides long. Lineage: Eukaryota; Metazoa; Arthropoda; Insecta; Diptera; Culicidae. The record is from Rfam.
AGUAAGUUACGCCUUGCGAUGGGAUGGGAUCCGAAGCCCUCCGAGAGGCUCUCCCAUCCAACUCCUAUUCCGACACGUCCUCGUCGUGCAGAGCGGUAACAUGUGCCUCCAUAUAUUCUAGCUUGGGGUCACGGGCUAGAUCCAACCCCUUGGGCGGAUGGUGGCAUAUGGCGAACCAGGAAGGG